This 429-nucleotide ribosomal RNA is filed under the name Gemmatimonadota bacterium. RNAcentral describes it as "Gemmatimonadetes bacterium partial 16S ribosomal RNA". It matches the Rfam family "Bacterial small subunit ribosomal RNA", at positions 355 to 776 of the family's 1533-position model. Lineage: Bacteria; Pseudomonadati; Gemmatimonadota. The record is from RNAcentral.
UAGGGAAUCUUCGGCAAUGGACGAAUGUCUGACCGAGCAACGCCGCGUGAGUGAAGAAGGUUUUCGGAUCGUAAAACUCUGUUGUUCGAGAAGAACAAGGACGUUAGUAACUGAACGUCCCCUGACGGUAUCUAACCAGAAAGCCACGGCUAACUACGUGCCAGCAGCCGCGGUAAUACGUAGGUGGCAAGCGUUGUCCGGAUUUAUUCGGCGUAAAGCGAGCGCAGGCGGUUUCUUAAGUCUGAUGUGAAAGCCCCCGGCUCAACCGGGGAGGGUCGGUGGAAACUGGGAGACUUGAGUGCAGAACGGGAGAGUGAAAUUCCAUGUGUAGCGGUGAAAUGCGUAGAUAUAUGGAAGAACGCCAGUGGCGAAGGCGGCUAUCAGGACUGAAACAGACGCUGAGGCAAGAAAGCGUGGGGAGCAAACAGG